UGUUCGAAGAUAUUGCAAAAAUCAAAAUUUUCAAAUAUGUUUUUUUUCGGAUAACUUGUAAAGUACUUCAUGGAUUCAUUCCAAAAUAUAUCCAGCUCUAAAAUUUACAAGGUACGUCGAGUGCCACCUCAACCAUCAAAAUCGGUUAAUUUAUUUCAAAAUAAACCGUUAUCGAAAGAAUUGCGAAAAAUUGUUUCUAAUUAAAUUCAAAUUGUUUAACUAAUCAAUUAAAGUUGUUUUUGAACGUUAAUGAUUAAGAAACUGGAUUGAAUGCCACCUUGAACGUCAAAAUCGGUUCAUUAUUAUAACCGGGCAGCGUUGGUAUACGACAUGAGAGUGCGGCUCUCUCGCUGUCUCUGUCUGAAUUUGGUCUUUCUCUGUCUCUCAUAUUACAGCCUGAUUGCUAAGUUUGGCUGGGUUAAGCGCUAGACCACAGGGGAUGAUUUCGCGCAGCAGGUGACCGUAAGUCGGUCAUGUGCGCAUAAUUAGGUAGGGGUCAUCGGAGGUUGGGACCUGAGACGUCUCGAUCAGGAUCGACAUUCAAGUCCAAGCUAUCGACUCGACAUUCAAGUGCAGGCAAUCGAUUCAAGUGCAGGCGAUCGAUUCAAACGACACUCAAGUCAAAGUGCUGAUACAUACAGCCUCGUUACUCGUUGCUCGAUUGUGAAAACUGUAAAAAUUCUAAAUUAUUUUGCUCUCUCUAUAAACUGGUUUAUAAAACCAAAUUUUGUUAAGUUGAUUAUCUAAGUGAUUUGUGUGAGAGUAUCCAGCACCAAGUCCAACAUCAACAGCCAGGAUCCGGAAGAGAAGGUCCAACAUGCAGCGGCGUCCAAUACCAUCAAUAUAUAAGAUGCUAUGAACGUCGAGCUCACGGUUGUCCUGCUCGGGGAAAAAUAACAAAUGAUGAACUUGAUUUAUCGAUCGUUCAUAACCAUGUAAGAAAUCCUCAGUUGCAGAAAUAUUGCAUCUUUCAAGAUGCAUUGUUUAUUGCGGCAACGGCACGCCCUUAUAGAUCCCUGAAAGUUAUAUUUGACCAUUUGAGUGUGCAAAAUCAUGAAGCAGCGUCACAAUUCACAUGGCGGAAAAUGCAGCCGCUUAUGGAAAGUUGGCGCCGCAGUGACCGACCACCUCGUCCACCGAUUCCAAGCAAUCUACAACAGUUUGCCGAUUUUUUAAACAUGCCACAGUGGGCCUAUAAUUAACUUUACUAUGAAUAAUUUUUAGUUUUAAAUAAUUCACCAGAAAUAAUAAAUAUAGUCAUAAAUUUUAACGAUUUGAGAAAAAUCUCUGCUCCAAUUUUUUAAAUGUACAUCAAUAAUAAAUUAUGAAGCAGAAAAAUUAAUUAUUUAAUUAAUAAAAUUUUACUGAAGUAAUCAUUACAGAAAAAAAAAUUAAUCAGUUGAUAAUAAAAUAAUUGCACAUUAAAUUUUUGUCAAUAAACAAUUAAAUUAUUGCACUUCAGUUUAAUGGUACGGUGUUACAAAUUUUUUUUAAUUAGUUGGAUUUAUUUUUUAAUUAAUGAA
Microplitis demolitor is the source of this 1523-nucleotide RNA transcript. RefSeq lists it as uncharacterized. The record is from RefSeq and is a predicted model, not a curated record. The transcript is spliced from 3 exons. NCBI's taxonomy places the organism in Eukaryota, Metazoa, Arthropoda, Insecta, Hymenoptera, Braconidae.